RNAcentral lists this unclassified non-coding RNA (679 nucleotides) under Leishmania donovani. RNAcentral describes it as "gene:unknown". Lineage: Eukaryota; Euglenozoa; Kinetoplastea; Trypanosomatida; Trypanosomatidae. The record is from RNAcentral.
GUCAUCAUCUACACCGCAUGUUGUCGCUGACGCUUGUCCUAUCGACGGGCGUCGCCCCCCCCCCCUCUGCAGACGCCCAAAGGCGCGACGCAAGAAAAGACGAAUAGAGUCACAGAAGAGAGGGGCCUGACGGACCAGUUGUGAAGUAAGCUGCGAGAGGUGAACAGAGGGUGGUGAGGAGCAGUGGCCCGGAGAGGUAACUAACUGGUUUCUGUCACCUUGCCUCCCGCCAUCGCUGCAACGUCUCUGUUCUGUUUUUCUUUUUUCUGUGCUGACGCGUUCGUGCGGCGGGCUGGUCUUUCUCUCCGGUGUGGGUCUCUUCAAGGAAGAGGCGGGGAGAAAAGAGUGCUGGGGGUCGCACUCUGCAUGACGGGGUGCGUUCGUCCAUGUGGGUGUGUGUCAUGGUCAGGCGCCCAUAUGCUCAUGUGUGUCCGUGUGUCUGUAGUUGCGUGCUCUUGUCGAUUCUCUCUCUUCAUCGGCAAUCGAUCCAGCUUCCUGUGUGGUUCGUUCUUUGCACAGCGAUGCAAGUCGCAACAGCUCUGCAGCGAGCAGACGAAUACCUCCACACUUUAUCCAAGAGUGGUCUUCGCUAUUUUUAACCCCCAGCCCUUUUCGCCUUUCCCGAUCUUCGCUCUGUUGAACAUCUUUUUCUAUGCGCUUCUCCGCUGUUCGCUGCAAG